Molecule: long non-coding RNA, 5422 nt
Filed under: Citrus sinensis (sweet orange)
Lineage: Eukaryota; Viridiplantae; Streptophyta; Magnoliopsida; Sapindales; Rutaceae
Description: long non-coding RNA (CSIN_LNC002432)
Source: RNAcentral
AGCUUUCGUUUUCUGAAAAUAAAACUUGAAUUGAUUUCAUUGCUUACAGGCCAACGUAUAUAUACAUAAGAAAACAAAAUGACAGCUAGCUAAAAGAUAACAAAUUCAGAUAAAACAAAAACAAUCACUAAAUCAUUGGCCAAUAAUAUAAAGCUUCUAGAAUCUUCAUCUAAUCAUCCCAUGUGCUGAUAUUCCUCUGUGUAACUGUUUUGCCACCUCAUUGAAUUCCUCUCAUUUCUUUCAUCAGCUGACUGUAAUUGUGAGUAGCUCAGGUGGCAUGCCACUGUAGCAUUGAGGUCAUCAGUUGACUGGCUAAGAUCAUGGCUGCCAUGGCUGCUAUUUUCAACAUAUGGUAGAUUUCAAAAUGACAAAUAAUCACUGUCCCAUUUUUAGUUGUGGUUGUAAGCAGCCCACGUAGUUCUUCAGUUUUUUUAUUUCAUUAUAAAACUUUUUUUUUCCUUGGCAUUAUUAGCUGGAAGAUUGAUAUAAUUUUGAUUCAAGAUUUGUGUGCUUGCUUUCUUCAGAGAAACAUAUUUGGCAGCUUUUCCAUGACAUUAUAUGAGAUUACUCCUUGCUGUUGUGAGUUAGCUGCCCAUCUUGGUUCUGUUCACUAGAUGCCACACUGAAUCUGCCAGUUUGCUGUUCUCUGUCAAUCUUUUGAGAAUGGCGGCCUGUCAGCUCUUCGGUGGUGAUGCCUUAUGUAACACCCGUUGGUUUUGUUAUAUUAAUAUUAUUAUUAUUAUUUUUUUGAAAAGAAAUUUCAUUAAGCAAAACUAAUUACAAACUGUUUAAUAACCAAGAGGGUGGAGCUAAGUUCCACACUCUAGAAUGUGACAUAGAACUUCCUGCCCUCGCAAUAGUGUGAGCAACAAAAUUCGCAGAUCGACGAACAAACGAGAACUUCACUUCUCCUAUAGAUAGAGCUAAUGCCCGACACUCCUCAAUAAUGAGACCAAAGCCAUUAGGGCCUGAAAAACCAGUCAAAACUUGAAAAACUUGAAGGUAAUCUAUCUCAACAACACAUGGGAACUGUAAUUUCUUUAACCAGCUAAGGGCCUCCCGAAUACCAAGAGCUUCUGCCUCCCUUGCACCAAACAUUCCAGGUCUGCCAACACACCUUGCUGCCAAAAAACAGCCAUCUGAGUUACGAAGAACACACCCCAGCCCAAACCUUCUCUGUGGAAUAUACUUGGUUUGAGAUAGCAAAAUGGCAUUUUGUUUUCUGUUUACCUGAAUCCCCAGAAAAAAGUUUAGCUCUCCCAAAUCCUUUAAGGCAAAGGUCUUAUUUAAGUUGCUAACCAGCUCUUCAAUACUACCACUGUUAUCACCAGUAAUAAUAAUGUCAUCAACAUAAAUAAGCAAUAUAACUAUCUCAGAUUUAGUUUUUCUGUAGAACAAUAAGGUAUCACACUUAGAAUUUUCAAAUCCCCAAGAGUUCAAGGCACCCUUCAGUUUGUCAAACCAUGCCCUGGGGGCUUGUCUCAAGCCAUACAAUGCUUUCUUUAAUCUGCAUAUGUGAUUGGGCUUGCUUUUGUUCACAAAACCUUCAGGCUGUGGCAUGUAAACCAUCUAUGUCAGCUCACCAUUUAAGAAAGCAUUGUUUAUAUCUACCUGCCUCAGCAACCAGUCAUUGUUCACUGCCAAAGUGAGGAUGAUUCUGAUUGUUGCAACCUUGACAACUGGGCUGAAAGUCUCUGUGAAAUCAAUGCCUGGAAUUUGCAAGAACCCCUUCACCACUAAUCUGGCCUUAUAUUUGUUUAUGGUUCCAUCUGGAUUCUCUUUAACUCUGUACACCCAUUUAUUUCCAAUCAGCUUGUAGCUUGAGUCAUUUGGUACCAAGGUCCAUGUUCCAUUUUUCAUUAAGGCAUUGUACUCAUCUUCCAUUGCCCUUUUCCAGCUUGGUUCUUUUAAAGCUUCUGAGGUGUUUGAGGGUAAUGCUAUGUGUGGUUGAGUAGUGAUUUGGUACAACUUUGGUUUAAAGAUCCCUGCUUUAGAUCUUGUUACCAUAGGAUGUGAUGGUAUAGCUUCUUUUGUGUUGGGUGCUGUGAUAGGGGAUGAAGGUUGGUCAUUUGCUUGAGGCUGGUGAUUUGAAUGAGGUGAGGAUAGCUGAUUAUUUGAUAUCAUAUCAUUGCUUAAAUUCUGUUGUGUCUUACCUUGGUCAAGGUUCUGGGAUUUUUUUGUGUUUUCAGGAGCUACAAGAGAGUGGCUUUGAUCAGCUGCUGACUGAGUGUUUUGAGGAGUAUCAAGGAAGAAUGACACGACCUGAAAUUUUUCUAAAAGAUUAAGGAAGACAUCCUGACUUGUGGACUCUUCCCUGCUGAACUUGGGGUCAUUAGAAAAAGGGAAUGAGCUUUCAUUGAACCUGACACUUGUAGAGACAUAUAUUCUACCUGAGUGAUGCAUGCAGACAUAUCCUUUGUGAGUUAAGCUUAUUCCUAGUAGUGUGCAUUUGGCAGUAUGGAAAUCAAACUUGUGCUUGUUAUAUGGUCUUAGAAAUGGAUAGCAUUCACAUCCAAACACUUUGAUUUGUGAGUAAUUUGGUUUGUAAUGGUAAAGCAUUUCAAAGGGGGUUUUGUUUCCAAUAACAGGUGAGGCUAAUCUGUUGAUAGUGUAGGUAGCAUAACUGAAGGCUUCUUGCCAGAAUUUUAAUGGCAUUUUAGCUUGUGCCAGCAAUGUGAGUCCAGUUUCUACCACAUGUCUGUGCUUUCUCUCAACCUUCCCAUUUUGUUCAUGUAAAUAAGGACAUGAUUGUCUCAAUAUAAUGCCCUCUUUGUCAAGGAAUGGUUUGAAUGGUUUAAACUCUCCUCCCAUGUCUGUCUGUAGUGCUUUAAUUUUCAGAUUCAGUUGAUUUUCAAUUUGGCUUUUGAAGGUGAUGAAUGUGUUGAGAGCUUGAGAUUUUGUUGCCAAAGGAAACAACCAGGUGUAUCUUGUCAUGUCAUCCACAAAAGAUAUGUAAUAUUUGUGUCCAUGAUUUGAAGGAAUUGGUGCUGGUCCCCAUAGGUCAGCAUGAAUCAGCUCUAGGGCUUUGCUGGUUUUAGUUUCUGUGCUUUUGAAAUUUUGCUUAGACAAUUUUCCAUACUGACAUGCACAACAAAAUGAAGGAACAUAAUUCUUGUUUAAUUUGAACUGAUUACAAGACAACAAAGUGCUUUUCAAGGCAGACUCAUUUGGAUGCCCUAGUCUGAGAUGCCAGAGAUCAAUAUCUUUCAAAACAUCAUUGCUUGACUCAUCAGUUUUAGAAGACUCAAAACAAACAUUAGCUAGCUUGACACUACUAGGAUUAAAUGACAACAUAGACACUGGAUUGCUGAUGCAACUUAUUGACUCAGACAUAAAAGAUGAAGACAAAACAGCAGCAUAAGGAGUUUUGCUCCCACUCAGGUGAGUAGGCAAGCACAGCAACUCAUAAAGCCCCUCUCUAGCACUAGGAUUAAAUGACAACAUAGAUACUGGAUUGCUGAUGCAACUUAUUGACUCAGACAUAAAAGAUGAAGAUAAAACAGCAGCAUAAGGAGUUUUGUUCCCACUCAGGUGAGUAGGCAAGCACAGCAACUCAUAAAGCCCCUCUCUAGCCACUCCUUUCACCAGAAUUUUCCCUUGCUUCUUGUCCUUGAUAAAGCACAUAGAUUUUUGAAAUUCAAUGUCAAUAUCAUUGUCAUGUAAUAAUCUGGAAAUGCUAAUGAGAUUUUUAGUGAUGCUUGGCACAAAUAAUAUGUCAUUCAAGGCAAUGUGUUUAUGUGGAUUUGAAGUGGAAAGCAUAGAAUUACCAACAUGAGAGAUCAGGAGUUUUUCACCAUUUCCAACAGUUAAUUUUUCAUUACCUUGAUACUCAGAGUUGAUGUUUAUGUUACCAAGAGCAUUUGUCACAUGGUUUGUGGCACCACUGUCCAGGUACCAGGCUCCACUGCUUUGGCCAUCGGUUGCAGCCACAUAUGCACCUCUUGGUUCUCUCCUUUGGCUUGGUUGUGGCACAUAAUUCUUUUUGAAUCUGUGCCAGCAAUCAGCAGCUGUGUGUCCCAUUUUCCAGCAAAUUUGACAAGGCCCCUUUGGAUUUGAACCAUCCUCAUCACUCACAGCUUUACCUUUCCCUUUGUCCUGAGAGUUCUGAUUUCCCUGACCAGAUCCAUUUCCAGGGGUUCUGAAAAUUAUUCCAGGUUGGUGUUGGUUUCCAGCCCUGUUGUGGUUGUUCCAAUUCCUUCUUCCAUUUCUUGCUUGUGCAGUUUGCCUCUAUAGUCCCUGAGCUUAAGUUAUGUUUAGUUCUGUUUUCUUGACUGAGAAGCAUGCCAUAGACUUCAGAAUGUGAGGGACUUUCUUGCAUUGAGUUUAUGCUAGCUAUAACUGGGUCAUAUUCUGAUCCUAAACCAGCAAAUACACACAUGAUAAAGUCAUCAUCACUCAUGUUACUCCCUGCAGCCCUAAGAGCAUUCAAUAUGGACUUCAUUCUAGAGUAAUACUCAUGAAUAGUUAAUGAACCCUUUUUGGUGGUCUGGAUUUGUGUUCUGAGGUGUAAGAUUCUAGCUCUAGUUCUUGCACCAAACUGAUUGGAAAGAGUUGUCCACACCUCAAGAGAAGUGGAACAAUCCACCACAAUGCCUAAAACUUCCUCAGUCAGUGAAGAUAACAACCAACUCAGAAGAAUGUGGUCUUGUUUCUUCCAGACUUGGUAUUCUGGGUUGGGUGUGGUAACUAUUGUUUGGUCUUGUCCAAGGUUUAUGAAGACUCUAGGAGGGCAGAUAUGACUGCCAUCUAUGAACCCCUCAAGCUCAUUUGCUCUAAUGCUGGAAAUCACUUGUGAUCUCCAGAGCAUGAAAUUGUUUUGAUUGAGCUUAAUGGGGGUUGUGAAUACAUAUGUGCUGCUAGUGAUGUGUUGAGUGGGUGAGGGUGUGUUGUGACUUGAACUUCGUUCAGUGUUUUGAUUUUCAUUUUGAUUCAAGUUGCCCAUCUGAUCAUUUUGAUUCACAUUUGCUUGUGUGCUGCUACUGCUUGCCAUAGCUUUAAAGAUGGCUCUGAUACCAACUUAAAAUUCUUAGAGAAUUGCUUUUUCUUAGCAAGCAGAGCAGAGUAAAACCAGAGAGCUUUCGUUUUCUGAAAAUAAAACUUGAAUUGAUUUCAUUGCUUACAGGCCAACGUAUUUAUACAUAAGAAAACAAAAUGACAGCUAGCUAAAAGAUAACAAAUUCAGAUAAAACAAAAACAAUCAUUAAAUCAUUGGCCAAUAAUAUAGAGCUUCUAAAAUCUUCAUCCAAUUAUCCCAUGUGCUAAUAUUCCUCUGUGUAACUGUUUUGCCACCUCAUUGAAUUCCUCUCAUUUCUUUCAUCAGCUGACUGUAAUUGUGAGUAGCUCAGGUGGCAUGCCACUGUAGCAUUGAGGUCAUCAGUUGACUGGCUAAGAUCAUGGCUGCCAUGGCUGCUAUUUUCAACAG